Molecule: ribosomal RNA, 468 nt
Filed under: uncultured bacterium
Lineage: Bacteria
Description: partial 16S ribosomal RNA
Rfam family: Bacterial small subunit ribosomal RNA
Source: RNAcentral
GACGAACGCUGGCGGCGUGCUUAACACAUGCGAGUCGAACGGAAAGGCCCUGCUUUUGUGGGGUGCUCGAGUGGCGAACGGGUGAGUAACACGUGAGUAACCUGCCCUUGACUUUGGGAUAACUUCAGGAAACUGGGGCUAAUACCGGAUAGGAGCUCCUGCUGCAUGGUGGGGGUUGGAAAGUUUCGGCGGUUGGGGAUGGACUUGCGGCUUAUCAACUUGUUGGUGGGGUAGUGGCUUACCAAGGCUUUGACGGGUAGCCGGCCUGAGAGGGUGACCGGCCACAUUGGGACUGAGAUACGGCCCAGACUCCUACGGGAGGCAGCAGUGGGGAAUAUUGCACAAUGGGCGGAAGCCUGAUGCAGCAACGCCGCGUGCGGGAUGACGGCCUUCGGGCUGUAAACCGCUUUCGCCUGUGACGAAGCGUGAGUGACGGUAAUGGGUAAAGAAGCACCGGCUAACUACGUG